This 2908-nucleotide ribosomal RNA is filed under the name Chlamydomonas acidophila. Its description in RNAcentral is "bacterial LSU rRNA". It matches the Rfam family "Bacterial large subunit ribosomal RNA". The record is from RNAcentral. Lineage: Eukaryota; Viridiplantae; Chlorophyta; Chlorophyceae; Chlamydomonadales; Chlamydomonadaceae.
UCAAAUGAAUUAAGGCGUACGGUGGAGACCUAGGCACUCAGAGACGAAGAAGGGCGCAGAUACCGGCGAUACGCUUCGGGGAGCUGGCAACAAGCUUUGAUCCGAAGAUUCCCGAAUAGGGCAACCUCAUAGAACUACCUAUAUAAUUCAUAGUUAGGUAAGAGGCAACCCAGUGAACUGAAACAUCUAAGUAGCUGGAGGAAAAGAAAGCAAACGCGAUUCCCGUAGUAGCGGCGAGCGAACCGGGAACAGCCUAAACCUAUGUCGCAAGAUGUAGGGGUCGUGGGAGGACAACAUAAAAAUCGCUAUUUUUAAUACGAAGCAGCUGAAUCCUGCACCAUAGAUGGUGAAAGUCCAGUAGUAAAAAGAAAAUUUAGAUUUUUGUCUAAUCCCGAGUAGCAUGGGGCACGUGAAAUCCCGUGUGAAUCAGCGAGGACCACCUCGUAAGGCUAAAUACUCCUGAGUGACCGAUAGCGAAAUAGUACCACGAGGGAAAGGUGAAAAGAACCCCUGUUGGGGAGUGAAAUAGAACAUGAAACCGUAUGCUGACAAGCAGUGGGAGCAAGAAUGCUUGUGACCGCGUGCCUGUUGAAGAAUGAGCCGGCGACUUAUAGGGAGUGGCUGGGUUAAGGAGUAAAAUCCGGAGCCCAAGCGAAAGCGAGUCUGAAUAGGGCGCAAAUGGUCACUUCUUAUGGACCCGAACCCGGGUGAUCUAUUCAUGGCCAGGAUGAAGCUUGGGUAACACCAAGUGGAGGUCCGAACCGACCGAUGUUGAAAAAUCGGCGGAUGAGCUGUGAAUAGGGGAGAAAUUCCAAUCGAACUCGGAGCUAGCUGGAUCUCCCCGAAAUGCGUUGAGGCGCAGCGGUAACGAUGAACUGUCUUGGGGUAAAGCUACUGUUUCGAUGCGGGCUGCGAAAGCGGUACCAAGUCGUGGCAAACUCAGAAUACAAGACAUGUCUUCCGUAAACCAGUGAGACAGUGGGGGAUAAGCUUCAUUGUCAAGAGGGAAACAGCCCAGAUCACCAGCUAAGGCCCCUAAAUGGUCACUAAGUGGAAAAGGAUGUGAGAAUGCUGAAACAACCAGGAGGUUUGCUUAGAAGCAGCCACCCUUCAAAGAGUGCGUAAUAGCUCACUGGUAAAGCGUUCUUGCGCCGAUAAUGGCCGGGACUAAGUGACCUGCCGAAGCUGUGAUAUAAUUUAUUAUAUAAAUUAUAGGUAGGGGAGCGUUCCGCUCUCGGGUGAAGUUUUCACGUAAGUGGGGAUGGACGAAGCGGAAGUGAGAAUGUCGGCUUGAGUAACGAAAACAUUGGUGAGAAUCCAAUGCCCCGAAAACCUAAGGGUUCCUCCACUAGGUUCGUCCAUGGGGGGUUAGUCAGGACCUAAGACUAGGCCAAACGGCGUCGUCGAUGGAAAACAGGUUAAUAUUCCUGUACGAGUUAAAUUAUGAUCUGAGGGACGAAGGAGGCUAAGCUAGAACUGUUUUUGGAUUGCAGUGGAAGCGUUUAGACGUUGAGAGAUAGAAAAAAAGCUAUCUUGAGUGGAGACGUGAUCCCUAUUUGAUGGUUCGCCGUCGAGUAGCUAGUGAUGUCAUACUUCCAAGAAAAGCUCAUACAUCUUUAUAAUUUAAUGACCUGUACCUGAAACCGACACAGGUAGGUUGGUAGAGAAUACCAAGGGGCGCGAGAGAACUCUCUCUAAGGAACUCGGCAAACUGGCCCCGUAACUUCGGAAGAAGGGGCACCCUUUUUUUAAAAAAAAAAAGAGGGUCGCAGAUACCAGGCCCAGGCAACUGUUUAUCAAAAACACAGGUCUCCGCAACGUCGUAAGACAAUAUAUGGGGGCUGACGCCUGCCCAGUGCCGGAAGGUUAAGGAAGUUGGUUAUUAGCUAUAUGUUAAGAAGCUGACGACCGAAGCCCCGGUGAACGGCGGUCGUAACUAUAACGAUCCUAAGGUAGCGAAAUUCAUUGCCAAGUAAGUUUUGGCCUGCACGAAAGGCGUAAUGAUCUGGGCGCUGUCUCGGAGAGAGACUCGGUGAAAUAGACUUGUCCGUGAAGAUGCGGACUACCUACACCUGGACAGAAAGACCCUAUGAAGCUUGACUGUAUCCUGGAAUUGGGUUCGGGCUUUUCUUGCGCAGCCUAGGUGGGAGGCUAUGAUGAUUUUCUUCCGGGAAAAUUGGAGCCAACAUUGAGAGACCACUCUGGAAGAGCUAGAAUCCUAAUGGUGAUCUUUGAAUCAAGACACUUGACAGUUUCAGGUGGGCAGUUUAUUUGGGGCGAAUGCCUCCUAAAAGGUAACGGAGGCGUGCAAAGGUUCCCUCAGUCUGGACGGAAAUCAGACAUUGAGUGUAAAGGCAAAAGGGAGCUUGACUGCAAGACCUACAAGUCGAGCAGGGGCGAAAGCCGGCCUUAGUGAUCCGACGGUGCCGCGUGGAAGGGCCGUCGCUCAACGGAUAAAAGUUACUCUAGGAUAACAGGCUGAUCUUCCCCAAGAGUUCACAUCGACGGGAAGGUUUGGCACCUCGAUGUCGGCUCAUCACAUCCUCGGUCUGUAGUAGGUCCGAAGGGUUGGGCUGUUCGCCCAUUAAAGUGGUACGUGAGCUGGGUUCAAAACGUCGUGAGACAGUUUGGUCCAUAUCCGGUGUAGGCGUUAGAGCAUUGAGAGUAGCCUUUCAUAGUACGAGAGGACCUGAAAGGACAUGCCAAUUGUGUACCAGUUCUCAUUCCAAUGGGAAACGCUGGGUAGCUACGCAUGGAUAGAUAACUGCUGAAAGCAUCUAAGUAGGAAGCUAAACUCAAGAUGAGUGCUCUCUAAGGCCGCGGCUAGACAAGCCGUUAUAUAGGUAUCAGGUGUACAGUCAGCAAUGGCUUUAGCCGAGAUAUACUAAAGGCCGUUUGAUUUUGACCU